GUGUCAACUUCAGGCAUACAUAUACUAAAGUUGGAACUAUACAGAGACCAGUAGAGUGCUUGCUCAGAGAAGAAAUGUGAAUUUGUGAAGCAUUCCACACUUUA
Molecule: small nuclear RNA, 104 nt
Filed under: Ochotona princeps (American pika)
Lineage: Eukaryota; Metazoa; Chordata; Mammalia; Lagomorpha; Ochotonidae
Source: RNAcentral